Molecule: ribosomal RNA, 253 nt
Filed under: uncultured bacterium
Lineage: Bacteria
Description: partial 16S ribosomal RNA
Rfam family: Bacterial small subunit ribosomal RNA
Source: RNAcentral
UACGUAGGGUGCAAGCGUUAAUCGGAAUUACUGGGCGUAAAGAGUGCGUAGGCGGUUCUCCAAGUCCGUUGUGAAAGCCCCGGGCUCAACCUGGGAAUGGCAGUGGAAACUAGGGGACUUGAAUCUGGCAGAGGGGGGUGGAAUGCCGCGUGUAGCAGUGAAAUGCGUAGAGAUGCGGCGGAACACCGAUGGCGAAGGCAGCCCCCUGGGCUGAGAUUGACGCUCAGGCACGAAAGCGUGGGGAGCAAACAGG